Long non-coding RNA from Homo sapiens (human), 1322 nucleotides. Ensembl annotates it as long intergenic non-protein coding RNA 1585. Lineage: Eukaryota; Metazoa; Chordata; Mammalia; Primates; Hominidae. The record is from Ensembl.
CCCUCUGGGGAAGCCAGCCACCAUGUUGUGAAGAUACUCAAGCAGCCCUAUGGAGAGGCCCACACACUGGGGAGGCACUGCGGCUUUCUGCCGACAGCCUUGUGAAUGAGACACCUUGAAAGAGGAUCCUCCAGCCCCAGCCAAGCUUUCAAAUGGUUCCAACUCUGACAUGCUGACAACUUCAUGAGAGGCCCUGAGCCAGAACCACCCAAACUCCUGACCCAUUAGUGUGUUAUGUAACAAAUGUUUGUUGUUUCAUGCCACUAAGUUUUGGGGCAAUUUGCUACCUCUAGCCAUUGUUCCCAGCUGGUGUGUAGUCUGACUGGCAGGUGCCCAUGCUUUAUUAGUGGUUUGAUAUUUUGACUAUCGGCCCUGAGUAGGAGGAAUGACACAGAGAGGAGAUAGAGUUGUGAGUGAGAGGAGGCCAAAUCGUGGUGUCAGAGCGAGAAGCAGCACCCUGGGGAGGGCUGAGUCACUUGUGCUGUCUGGAGGAAGGCGGAGCAAAGAUCUGCAGCCCAGCUGACUGUGGUCUCAGCUUUUCUAGCCUCCAGGCUUUCUCCCGGGUUCCUAAGUCUGUAUGUGCUCACUGGAAAUGCCCCAUGACUUGGGGUGACAUGGGUCUGAAAGGAGCAUGCAAGCAGCCCCCCCACAUUGCAGUUUUGCUUUCUGUGGUUUCAGUUACCUGCGGUCAACCACCAUCUAAAAAUAGAAAAAAUUCAAACUUAGAUGAUUUCCGAAGAUCUUAAUAAUCAGGACAACCGUGAACUUCUCAUGCAACCGUCAAUGCCUGAGACAAUGGAGUGAAAGCUACCAGAUCCUUAAGAGAAAAGUGUCCCCCAGGACUCUUAAAGCCACCAGCCCUGAUGUUGGCCACGGGAAAAGACAAUCAAGGAAAAUCUCCGACCUUCGGUGAAAUGCAGAGACUAAGGGACCCCUGUGCUGCGUGUGAUGCGAUUUUGAGAGAAAAAAAAAAAAAAAGGCCAGGUGUGGUGGCUCACGCCUGUAAUCCCAGCACUUUGGGAGGCCCAGACAGGAGGAUCCCUUGAGCUCAGGAGUUAGAGACCAUUCUGGGCAACAUGGCAAAACCCUGUCUCUACAAAACAAAACAAAACAAUACAAAACAAAACAAACAGAAAAAUAGCCAGGUGUGGUGGCACGUGCCUGUGGUCCCAGCUACCCUGGAGGCCUAGGCGGGGAGAUCGCUUGAGCCUGGGAGGUCGAGGCUUCAGCGAACCAAGAUCACGCCACUGCACUCCAGCCUGGGCCACAGAGCAAGAUUGUCUUAAAAAUAAAACAAAACAAAAACUAACGGAGCCCUGAAA